UUGAGUAGCCAAUCAGAAUGUAGGAUUUGUAAUAGACAAUAGUCAGGUGUAUACUAAUUUCGGAUAGUAAACGGAGCCAGCAGACCUAAUUGAUCAAAUUGAUCAGACUGCAACACCGGCGGAGUGCUUUGUUACAGGAAGCAUUUUGACGAAGUCCGUUAAUUUACCUAAAUCAUACUAGAAAACAUCGUUUUCAGUAUCCCAUGGUAUUCCCAGGAUAUUAACCGAUAAAUGUUCAACUUCUGCUGUUGAUAUGUUACUUCUUGAUCGUUAUGUUCUGCAGUGUUUGGAAAGCAUUCGCAAGUUAAAUGAUGGUCGGUUCCAAACAACAAACCUGUUGCUCGCUAAUUUCAACCUAUUCAAUACCACACUCGUUCUCGAGGGGUUCCACGAUCUGUGGUAACACCUCUUCACACGCUUUUGUAUGUUGUUUCCUUCUGUACGAAGCCCGAAUCCACCGUCUGUGAUUAUUUCUUUUGACAUAUCGUAAAUUUUGAUUGUUUGAUCAUCCGCCAAGUUCAGUCAUCAAUAACUCGCAAAUGUUGCUGUUGCUUGAAGACAUUCAGAAUAUUCUUUCAUAAGUUCGGUCCUUCAACGGAUUAUGCGUGUGUCGUAGUCUACUCAUACACAGGAUGAAUACUCACUCGCGAUCGGUCCCUUCAAUGAAGAAAACGAGGAUUUGAACUUGUCAAAUCGUUGUAAGUUUUUUGUUUUAUGAACUGCAUUUUCGAAAGCCCCACAAAAUGUACGAUUAAUUCGUAACAACACCUUGAAGUUUAUACAAAGGCAGUUUCGAGGUCGAAAAGAACAGCGUUUUUCUUAGAAUCGAAUUUGCGAUGAAUUUGUUGGCAAUUGGCUGGUACAUAUACGUCUUCACAUCCUCAGUCAGUUCUUAUUUACUCGCUAAAGUCUACUUGAUGACUCUCUUGUGCUAUUUCUUUCAAUCAAUUUUUUUCUCAGUUAUUUUACCCAAGUUUUUGAGAUUCUGUAAUUUGGCACUCAAUGUUGUUAACUCCACACAAAUUGUUUCUUUGCUAAGUCGUCCCCGUUUUGUAACUCCAUGCAUGAUUUCUAGAUCGAAUUGGGCACCAUGCAAUAGAACUUUAUACACAAAAAAAGAAAAAUUCAAAAGAACACAAACAAAAAUUAGGCAAAUUAAAAUCCUAGAUGUACAGUGUACUACACAGGCUUUUCAAAAGUCAUACUGUAGGUUCGAUAAAUGUUGUUCGUCAAAAGACCACCAUGUUUUCACUGUGGAAUGUUCCUACCUAAACUACUGUUCUUUUCACAAGUAGCUAAUUCCUUUCACUUUUUUUAUUAAUUAGUAUAGGUAUUAACGAGAUUUUUGCUCCAACAAUUUGUGAUUAAAUAGGAAUGAUGUUUGAAAAUUUUUCCAAAAUUGGACGUGCCAUCGACACGACUGACUGUGUCACAGUACAUUCCUAGUACUGCAAAUCAUUUUGUUUGACUGUUUCAUGCACAGAAUGUUCAUACUUCCACUGCAAAGAGUUGAUUGGUGUAUGGAACAUGUGAGAAAUCCCUUUGACGUACACUAACACAUAAAAGACCACUAUUAAGCAAACGUUGACGGAAAGAUUUUUAAUGAUGCAUUUGACUGACUGUGUCACAGUACAUUCCUACUACUGCAAAUCAUUUUG
Dendronephthya gigantea is the source of this 1658-nucleotide long non-coding RNA. RefSeq lists it as uncharacterized. Lineage: Eukaryota; Metazoa; Cnidaria; Anthozoa; Malacalcyonacea; Nephtheidae. The record is from RefSeq and is a predicted model, not a curated record. The transcript is spliced from 6 exons.